Molecule: ribosomal RNA, 224 nt
Filed under: uncultured bacterium
Lineage: Bacteria
Description: partial 16S ribosomal RNA
Rfam family: Bacterial small subunit ribosomal RNA
Source: RNAcentral
UAGGGAAUCUUCCACAAUGGACGAAAGUCUGAUGGAGCAACGCCGCGUGAGUGAUGAAGGGUUUCGGCUCGUAAAACUCUGUUGUUGGAGAAGAAACAGGUGAUAGAGUAACUGUUAUCAUCUUGACGGUAUCCAACCAGAAAGCCACGGCUAACUACGUGCCAGCAGCCGCGGUAAUACGUAGGUGGCAAGCGUUGUCCGGAUUUAUUGGGCGUAAAGCGAGC